RNAcentral lists this transfer-messenger RNA (389 nucleotides) under Acidimicrobiales bacterium. It matches the Rfam family "transfer-messenger RNA". From Rfam's summary of the family: Bacterial tmRNA, also known as 10Sa RNA or SsrA, is named for its dual tRNA and mRNA-like properties. Its role is to liberate the mRNA from a stalled ribosome. Lineage: Bacteria; Bacillati; Actinomycetota; Acidimicrobiia; Acidimicrobiales. The record is from RNAcentral.
GGGGCUGAUCGGUUUCGACGCCGAUGGCAGUGGGCGUGUCGUGCGACCGGAGUUGCCCAGACUCCCUAAACGGGGCAACCAAAGAGACGCCAAUACGGACGAUCUCGCUCUCGCUGCCUGACCUGGUCAGGUAGUUGAGAGUCACUGCGACCGGCAACGGCACGCGGGGUCGGUCCACCGCAACCCGGCAACAGAAGCGGUGGAGACAGCUGGGACAGACCGCUGACGGCGUGAAAGACCGCUGACCCGGGGGAAAGACCCCGCGGCUGGACCCUAGUGGUCCGCCCGACCCGGCGGUGUGGCUGCCGUAAGCCGCAAUCUCGGGAAUGGUCGUAGCGCGCUCGGUCACACAUUGACGGACGGGGGUUCGAUUCCCCCCAGCUCCACAU